CAUAUUCUCAAAACAUAUCUGCACCCUUCGGGUCACAAUCUUCAUGUCAAACCACCAAACAAGGGAGAUCGUCACUAGUCACUCUCAAUGGAUGACGCCCAAACAUAUAUCCUGGACUCCCGACUCGAUCCGUCAUUUCAGGCCAUAUUUAGUGAAAAGGCUCGUUAUGUCACUCAAUGUGAAGAUAACCAGCACAUAUAGAGCUGUACAGACCAGUUUGGGUAAAGGAACGUAAUCUCCACAACUCGUCUCACUUGAUCGGUCGUGCUGCAUUCUGAUCGCACGGUAAAUCGGAAAGGGAUUACAAGUGGUGGGAGUACGGGUAUGAUUCAUAUGAUGAUGAAAAUAUAGUGGCUAGCAAUUCCAUCGCUCCAUUAUAUAAUAUUAUGAUGUGUCAUCUUAUCAGCCAACACACACACACAACCCGCAAGUCUCACGUCUUGGGGACCAUUACAUGCUUCUUACACGGACAUGUGUUGAUCUUCCCAUCUCUCAUCUGAAUUUUCGGAUAUAGAUCAUCGACUGUCACAGGCCGCCUUCUCGGCACGACGUACUCCCGAAGCCCAGACUUCAAUUCUUGAACAGCUUUGUCAAGGUCCUCGCGAUAAGGUAUCACAAACGUGACUUUUGAGAGGUCUGCUUUCCUCCAUGCUUUCCACAUACUAAAUUUGAACAGACUGUAUAUUUCUCGAAGAAUCUCGACUGUGGGUCUCGUUUUUUCUUCCUGAAACUCGAAAUCAUAAUAUACCGAAGCGCCAUCAGGCGGUGUUGGCAAGCUUACCCCUGGCAAUCGUGGACAGUCAGACGUGUCGCAUAGAUAGUAGUGAAAAACGAAUGUUUGGAGAGGCACGCCAUUUCGUUUAGACAGUCGACCGAGUAAAUCAGUAAUACCUCGGCUGAAUGACCCUAGUGUCAAGGCCGUGUAUAAAUCGCAUGUCCCCAGCAUCGGUAAUGGCAUGUUGGAACAGAAGCUUGUCACGGCGAGCUGCUGAGUGAAGACUUGGUCGAAGAUGAGUCCCCAAGAGACACCGCUAAUGGGUGGCCUCAAAGUCGCGAGGCUUGCAGUGUAUGGGGCUUGGCUGAGAAAACCUUUGGGACCAAUGAAAUCCCACUCCAAGCGGACAUGCUUGACGUUGGGAAAGGCGCAGGUUGACAAGCUGUGGGGAAUACCCCAUAUCUUUGUUGGCUGCUUAGCAUUCAGGAGAUGACUGUGGUUCAGACUCCACCAUGCAAGUUUCUCAGCAGCUUCGGCAUCGCUGAGAGUGACAACCUCAACUAGCUUGAGAGCUUCCGCUUUACGUCUACCAUCCACCGAGCCAGUUCCAAGGUUUUCGCUCUCCUGAACCCAGGGAUAGAUAAGCUGCCCAAUGUUGUUGAUGUUGAUGUUGACAUGGUUAUAGAUAACAGGCAGGAUGCGCUUAUAGUAUUGUCGAUUAAUUAAAAGGUGUUCGAUAUGAACUGGUCUACUAUCGAUAAGAGCAUCGUCAAGAAGGUGGUAUAUCGGUGCGAGAGGCUCUAAUGAGGUAAUGCUUCCUAGAUCUGGAGGGGGGCCCCCCGGUGUAGAAUCAUACUGGUCUCCUACGUGAAGACCGUUGGCGGGGGUUGGCUGGAGUUCUGAAGUCAUCUGGUAAUAUUGAUCAGUUAUCCCACACGCUAUAUAGGGAGACGACGAUAUUUUUGUGUGCUUACCGGAGCUGGCGAAACGCAGAUCUCUUAACGCUCUAUAGCGGUCUUAUGCCUGACGGGUGAAAGAAUACGAGACCUAGCAGGGGCUAGGGACGCAUAAAGUAAUGUUGUACAGAACUACAUUCAGAUCGUUUUGAUUCUGAUAAUAAAACUAUC
Molecule: small RNA, 1842 nt
Filed under: Cryptococcus neoformans H99
Lineage: Eukaryota; Fungi; Basidiomycota; Tremellomycetes; Tremellales; Cryptococcaceae
Description: Cryptococcus neoformans var. grubii H99 hypothetical RNA
Source: RNAcentral